This 1168-nucleotide ribosomal RNA is filed under the name uncultured bacterium. RNAcentral's name for it is "bacterial SSU rRNA". It matches the Rfam family "Bacterial small subunit ribosomal RNA", at positions 35 to 1176 of the family's 1533-position model. The record is from RNAcentral.
GGCGUGCGGCAGCCUACCAUGCAGUCGAACGGUAACCGAGGGCAGCGUGCUGCUCUGCUGACAAGUGUGGGACGGGUGAGUUUCGACUGGGGAUCUGCCCGAUGGAAGGGGAUAUCCCCUGGAAACCGUGGCUAGUACCGAAUUAUCUCACUUGACCGAGUGGGGGACCUUCAGGCCUCUGCCGUCGGAUGAGCCCACAUGGGAUUAGAUACUAGGUGGGGUAACGGCUCACCUAGGCCACGAUCCCAAUGAGGUCUGAGAGGAUGACCUACCACACUGGAACUGAGACACUAUCCAAACUCCUACGGGAGGCUGCUCCGGGGAAUAUUGCAGAAUGGGCGCAGGCCUGAUGCUGCCAUGCUCUUUGUAUGAAGAAGGCCUUCGGGUUGUAAAGAACUUACACCCCGGAGGAAGGGAGGCCGGUUAACAACCUGGUUCAUUGACGUUACCCGCUGAACAAACUUCCGGUAACUCCGUGCCACCUACCGCGAUAUUACAGACGGGGCAGACGUUACUCAGAUUUACUGGGCAUAUGCCUCAGACACGGGGUCUGUCGAGUCUGGAGUAAAAUCCCCGGGCUCAACCCGGGAACUGCAUUCUAAACUGGCUUACUAGAAUCUUGUAUAGGGGGGUAGAAUUCCUGGUGUAUAGCUGAAAUGCGAGGUGCAUCUGGAUGAAUACCGGUGGCGAUUGCAUACCCUUGGACAAAGACUGACGCUCAAGUGCGAUUACGUGUCGAGCAAACAGGAGUUCAUACCCUGGUAGUCCACGCCGUACAUUAUGUCGACUUGAGUACUGUGAGCUUGACUCGUGGCUUCCGGAUGUAACGCGUUAAGUCGACCGCCUGGAGAGUACGGUUUACUAGGUUAAAACUCAAAUGAAUUGUACGGGGGCCUUGCACAUGCCCGUGGUAGCAUAGUGGAUUCAUAUCGAUGCCAUUGCGGAGACCCUGUACCCUGGGCGUUGACAUGCAUGUAAUCCUCUCGAGAUGCGAAAUUGUCGUGUCUGAGAUCCCGUGAGACAGGUGCAUCCAUGGCUGUCAGUCAGCUCGCUGUUCAUGUAGUGCUCGCGUUAAGUCACUGCACGAGACUCAGCCGAUAUGCAUUUGGUGCAUGCGAUCAGUCGUCAUGUCCUGAAGACUGCGGGUGAAUAAACCGCUAGAUGUUGG